UUUCUACCAUCCGAUCAAC
RNAcentral lists this small nuclear RNA (19 nucleotides) under Arabidopsis thaliana (thale cress). Its description in RNAcentral is "snRNA_01214". The record is from RNAcentral. Lineage: Eukaryota; Viridiplantae; Streptophyta; Magnoliopsida; Brassicales; Brassicaceae.